This 1263-nucleotide ribosomal RNA is filed under the name Triticum aestivum (bread wheat). Its description in RNAcentral is "partial small subunit ribosomal RNA". The record is from RNAcentral. Lineage: Eukaryota; Viridiplantae; Streptophyta; Magnoliopsida; Poales; Poaceae.
AUGGAGCAGUCAGCGGCGGCCAGGCUGAUCUCGACGGAAGACGCCGUCCUCGAGAUCCUCCACCGCGUGUCCACGGAUCGCGCCGCCCUGCUCCGCUGCGCCGCGGCGUGCAAGCGGUGGCGCACUCUCAUAGCCGACCGCUCCUUCCUCAGCCGCUGCUGGCCGGAUGAGAGCGCCGGUGGUCGGUCCACCCUCGUCGGCUUCUUUAAUCGGCAACGCGUAGACAUCGACGGCAAGCCUUCGUACCGGUUGUUUUUCGUGCCGCCGCCGGAGGGCUCUGUGCUCGGCGCUCAACGCCGUCUUCUUACAUCUAUCGUCGACGGCUUGCCAGAUGAUGACACACACAUUGCGAAGCCGCUCGCCGCGCGUCAUGGCCUCGUCCUUGUGCGCCUCCUCACCGGCAUCCGUCGCCAUGAAUCGGUCCACAUGGCCGUCUGCGACCCGUUCGCCCGCACGUGCCACCUGCUCCCUCCACUUGAGUGCAAGGUCUCCUUUGUCAGUUGCACUUUCUUGACCGGUGCAGAGUGCCACCGACAUCACCCGUCCUUGGACUAUUUCAAGGUGCUAGCCGUCGUUUCCUUCGACAACCCCAAGGGCAAGGACGAUCGGGAGCGUAACCUGUACACGUUCUCGUCCGCCGAGUCAUUGUGGACCGGACCAAGAAAGUGUUUCGAUGAAAUCUACCGACCCGGCAAGCGCGGCUUCCAGUUUCCACAAAUCAGCAGCGGCAACAAUGCCUUGUGUGGCACGACGGUGCACUGGCUCGUCCCGUACUACUUCGGCCACUUGGAGGAGCCCACAAAAUAUUACACCUUGGACGCGAGCUCCGACACCGGACACACUUCCUUGACUGAGCUACCGACCGCCGUGAGCCGACACAUAACAUAUUCUAAUAGCCAUUCGACGCUUGGCGUCACCGCCGACGGGGCGCUCUCCCUGUUUUGCAUAAACGAGCAAGCUCUCAUGCAGAGGAUAGACGUGUGGAAGCGGGGAAACGAUGUCGAUAAUCAAGUCUGGCUACACUCAAGGGUGAUCGAGCUACCGAGCCAGGCGAAGCAUCUCUAUCAUCUCUCUGGUGUACAUAUGUUGUCAGUCGAGAAGAGCGACACAUUACUUGUCAUAGAUUAUGAAUCCCAGUGCGUGCACAAGGUCAAUGUCGAAACCGGGGUGGUGGAGGAGCAGCAGUUCCAGAACGGCCUGAAUAGCAUUGCCAUGCCUAUGAAUAUGGACUGGCCAACAUGGUUUGCGUCUCGGCUUGGUUAA